UGGGGAAUAUUGCACAAUGGGCGCAAGCCUGAUGCAGCGACGCCGCGUGCGGGAUGAAGGCCUUCGGGUUGUAAACCGCUUUCAGCAGGGACGAAGCGGAAGUGACGGUACCUGCAGAAGAAGCGCCGGCUAACUACGUGCCAGCAGCCGCGGUAACACGUAGGGCGCGAGCGUUGUCCGGAAUUAUUGGGCGUAAAGAGCUCGUAGGCGGCCUGUUGCGUCCGCUGUGAAAGCCCGGGGCUUAACCCCGGGUCGGCAGUGGAUACGGGCAGGCUAGAGGUAGGUAGGGGAGAAUGGAAUUCCCGGUGUAGCGGUGAAAUGCGCAGAUAUCAGGAGGAACACCGGUGGUGUAGACGGCUUACUGGACCACGACUGACACUGAGGCACGAAAGCGUGGGUAGCAAACAGGAUUAGAUACC
Molecule: ribosomal RNA, 419 nt
Filed under: uncultured bacterium
Lineage: Bacteria
Description: bacterial SSU rRNA
Rfam family: Bacterial small subunit ribosomal RNA
Source: RNAcentral